Molecule: ribosomal RNA, 354 nt
Filed under: uncultured Latescibacterota bacterium
Lineage: Bacteria; Pseudomonadati; Candidatus Latescibacterota
Description: bacterial SSU rRNA
Rfam family: Bacterial small subunit ribosomal RNA
Source: RNAcentral
ACCUGCACAGGUGCUGCAAGGCUGUCGUCAGCUCGUGUCGUGAAAUGUUGGGUUAAGUCCCGCAACGAGCGCAACCCUUAUCCCCAGUUGCCAUCAGGUAAAGCUGGGAACUCUGGGGAGACUGCCGGUGAUAAACCGAGGAAGGCGGGGAUGACGUCAAGUCCUCAUGGCCCUUACAUCCCGGGCUACACACGUGCUACAAUGGCAGGUACAGAGGGCUGCGAAGCCGCGAGGUGGAGCGAAUCCCAGAAAACCUGUCUCAGUCCGGAUUGAAGUCUGCAACUCGACUUCAUGAAGGCGGAAUCGCUAGUAACCGCGAAUCAGCAGGUCGCGGUGAAUACGUUCCCGGGCCUU